Molecule: signal recognition particle RNA, 147 nt
Filed under: Chlorocebus sabaeus (green monkey)
Lineage: Eukaryota; Metazoa; Chordata; Mammalia; Primates; Cercopithecidae
Description: Metazoan signal recognition particle RNA
Rfam family: Metazoan signal recognition particle RNA
About the family: The signal recognition particle (SRP) is a universally conserved ribonucleoprotein.
Source: Rfam by way of RNAcentral
GCUGGGCAUGGUGGCAUGUGCCUGUAGUCCAGCUAUUUGGGAGGCCAAGAUAGGUGGAUUGCUUGAACCCAGGAGUCUGAGGCUGCAGUGAGCCAUGGUUGUGCCACUGCACUCCAGCCUGGGUGACAAAGCAAGAUCUUAUCUCAA